CGGCGAGGGCGCCUUCCGAUUCGGAAGAUUUCACUGGUGACGUAGAUAAUUAACUUUUUCGAACGUUGCUGGCUGGAAUCGGAUGGAUUAGACAUGGCCAAGACUUCAGACCGAAUCAUUUCUCGAAUGAAAAUUAAUCAGUAUCCUCGGAUACUUUUGAAUUAGAUCUCAAAUGAAGCAAGAUUACCCGCUGAACUUAA
Molecule: unclassified non-coding RNA, 200 nt
Filed under: soil metagenome
Description: partial contains internal transcribed spacer 2 and large subunit ribosomal RNA
Source: RNAcentral